Molecule: small RNA, 131 nt
Filed under: Klebsiella pneumoniae
Lineage: Bacteria; Pseudomonadati; Pseudomonadota; Gammaproteobacteria; Enterobacterales; Enterobacteriaceae
Description: RtT sRNA
Rfam family: RtT RNA
About the family: This family represents a bacterial cis-regulatory element known as RtT RNA. The exact function of RtT is unknown although it is thought that it may be involved in changing the cellular response in relation to amino acid starvation.
Source: RNAcentral
UAUUCUGCCCCAUGGGGAAGGAUGAGAAGCUUCGACUAAGGUUCGACUCGAGCGAAGCGAGAGAACGUUGCCGCAGGCAACGGCCCGAAGGGCGAGGCGCUUUAGGCCGAGUAAUCCUUCCCCCACCACCA